UUUGUACUCCGAUGCCAUCCAC
Molecule: microRNA, 22 nt
Filed under: Caenorhabditis briggsae
Lineage: Eukaryota; Metazoa; Nematoda; Chromadorea; Rhabditida; Rhabditidae
Description: cbr-miR-238
Gene: cbr-miR-238
Source: miRBase by way of RNAcentral